AUUGAACGCUGGCGACAUGCCUUACACAUGCAAGUCGAACGGCAGCACGGGAGCUUGCUCCUGGUGGCGAGUGGCGAACGGGUGAGUAAUACAUCGGAACGUGCCCUGAAGUGGGGGAUAACGUAGCGAAAGUUACGCUAAUACCGCAUAUUCUGUGAGCAGGAAAGCAGGGGGCUCGUAAGACCUUGUGCUUUAGGAGCGGCCGAUGUCGGAUUAGCUAGUUGGUGGGGUAAAGGCCUACCAAGGCGACGAUCCGUAGCGGGUCUGAGAGGAUGAUCCGCCACACUGGAACUGAGACACGGUCCAGACUCCUACGGGAGGCAGCAGUGGGGAAUUUUGGACAAUGGGCGCAAGCCUGAUCCAGCCAUGCCGCGUGAGUGAAGAAGGCCU
RNAcentral lists this ribosomal RNA (390 nucleotides) under uncultured bacterium. RNAcentral's name for it is "bacterial SSU rRNA". It matches the Rfam family "Bacterial small subunit ribosomal RNA", at positions 30 to 417 of the family's 1533-position model. The record is from RNAcentral.